RNAcentral lists this ribosomal RNA (457 nucleotides) under uncultured bacterium. RNAcentral describes it as "bacterial SSU rRNA". It matches the Rfam family "Bacterial small subunit ribosomal RNA", at positions 28 to 507 of the family's 1533-position model. The record is from RNAcentral.
GGUGAACGCUGGCGGCGUGCCUAACACAUGCAAGUCGAGCGGUGCAGUUUGAAGCUUCGGUGGAAAGCUGCAUAGCGGCGGACGGGUGAGGAAAACGUAGGAACGUGCCCCUUGGAGUUGGAUAGCCACGGGAAACUGUGGGUAAACCGACAUAGACUCGAGAGAGUAAAGGCCGAAAGGCGCCAAGGGAGCGGCCUGCGGCCCAUCAGGUAGUUGGUAGUGUAAAGGACUACCAAGCCGACGACGGGUAGCCGGUCUGAGAGGAUGGCCGGCCACAAGGGCACUGAGAGACGGGCCCUACUCCUACGGGAGGCAGCAGGUGGGGGUAUUUUGGACAAUGGGCGAAAGCCUGAUCCAGCGACGCCGCGUGGAGGACGAAGCCCUUCGGGGUGUAAACUCCUUUUCUCAGGGAAAAAGGAUGAUGGUACCUGAGGAAUAAGCCCCGGCUAACUACGUG